This 537-nucleotide long non-coding RNA is filed under the name Anser brachyrhynchus (Pink-footed goose). RNAcentral describes it as "lncRNA (ENSABRG00000010105.1)". Lineage: Eukaryota; Metazoa; Chordata; Aves; Anseriformes; Anatidae. The record is from RNAcentral.
UUCUAUGUUAGUGAGUUGUUACAGCUUUUAUUUUUUUAUUUAUUUUUUUUUUUUUGGUGCAGGGGGGAGGCAUGAAACAAAGCCAAGAAACACAUUAUCGUACCCUCUAGUGAAUGAAGACACUUGGUUCAGGUGCCUGUUUGAUCUACUGCAUGCCUUUGCAAGGGAACCAUUAAGGUCCAGCCUGUUUCUCCCAGCUCAGCUUCUCCCUAUGGUCAAUUAACAUUCAUCCAGCUUCUAAAGGAAAACAUUCACGAUAUGCUGCCACAGUUUCAUCUGGAUUUCCCUGGGCCCAGGAGCAUGCUUCCAUUUUCUGUGGAUCACUAUGUUCCUUGUACAGUUAAUUGUGUGUUUAUAUGGAAAAAAUGUUUAAAAAAAAAGGAAAAAAAAAGUAACUAAAUAACUAAAUACAACCAUAAGCCUUCUUGCUUGUCCUUAUUAUUUUUUCCUCAGAAUAGAAGAGAUAUAAAAAAAGAUUACCUCUUUGAUGAUAUCUUUAAUUAGUCAUUUCUCAAAUAAAUUUGAGAAAGUAUUUCA